CGAACCGUACCAAACGUUUAUUCGGAAUCACUGGGCUUAAAGGGUGCGUAGGCGGCCCUGCAAGUUGGGUGUGAAACUCCCUCGGCUCAACCGAGGAAUUGCGCCCAAAACUGCCGGACUUGAGGGAGACAGAGGUGAGUGGAACUAUGGGUGGAGCGGUGAAAUGCGUUGAUAUCCGUAGGAACACCGGUGGCGAAAGCGGCUCACUGGGUCUCUUCUGACGCUGAGGCACGAAAGCUAGGGGAGCGAACGGGGAUUAGAUACCCCGGUAGUCCUAGCUGUAAACGAUGAGCACUAGAUCGUAGAGAUCUCCAUGUCUUUACGGUUCGAAACUGAAAAGGUUAAGUGCUCCGCCUGGGGAGUAUGCCGCAAGGCUG
This 377-nucleotide ribosomal RNA is filed under the name uncultured organism. RNAcentral describes it as "partial 16S ribosomal RNA". It matches the Rfam family "Bacterial small subunit ribosomal RNA", at positions 526 to 896 of the family's 1533-position model. The record is from RNAcentral.